UACAGAGGGGGCAAGCGUUAUUCGGAAUUAUUGGGCGUAAAGGGCGCGUAGGCGGCUUUGCAAGUGACGGGUGAAAGCCCUCGGCUUAACCGAGGAACUGCCUGUCAGACUGUAAGGCUUGAGACCGGGAGAGGUGAGUGGAAUUCCCAGUGUAGCGGUGAAAUGCGUAGAUAUUGGGAGGAACACCAGUGGCGAAGGCGGCAUCCUGGACCGACAUUGACGCUGAUGAGCGAAAGCUAGGGGAGCAAACGGG
RNAcentral lists this ribosomal RNA (253 nucleotides) under uncultured bacterium. RNAcentral's name for it is "partial 16S ribosomal RNA". It matches the Rfam family "Bacterial small subunit ribosomal RNA", at positions 524 to 776 of the family's 1533-position model. The record is from RNAcentral.